This 776-nucleotide ribosomal RNA is filed under the name uncultured Neocallimastigales. RNAcentral's name for it is "partial large subunit ribosomal RNA". It matches the Rfam family "Eukaryotic large subunit ribosomal RNA", at positions 24 to 645 of the family's 3401-position model. The record is from RNAcentral. Lineage: Eukaryota; Fungi; Neocallimastigomycota; Neocallimastigomycetes; Neocallimastigales.
GUAGUCUCGCACAGAUGCAUAUCAAUAAGCGGAGGAAAAGAAACUAACAAGGAUUCCCCUAGUAACGGCGAGCGAAGCGGGAAGAGCUCAAAUUUGAAAUCUUAAAGGGUUUCCCUUUACGAAUUGUAGUUUAAAGAAGUGUUUUCUGUUGAGGUUUUGGUAAAAGUUCUUUGGAAUAGGACAUCAUAGAGGGUGAGAAUCCCGUAUUUGACCUUUACUUUCAACUUUGUGAUACACUUUCAAAGAGUCGGAUUGUUUGGGAAUGCAGUCCAAAAUGGGUGGUAAAUUUCAUCUAAAGCUAAAUAUUGGCGAGAGACCGAUAGCGAACAAGUACCGUGAGGGAAAGAUGAAAAGAACUUUGAAAAGAGAGUUAAACAGUACGUGAAAUUGUCAAAAGGGAAGCGUUUAGACACCAGUGUUGUUUUUCUGAAAAUCAAUUAAAGAACUGUUUAUGCUAAGUUGUUUAGACUUUAUCAGCUAACUGUUUAGUCUUGAGCUUUUCUUUAAUGCACUUUUCAGUUAACAAGUCAACAUCAAUUUCUUUUGCUGUAAGAAAGCUUGAGGAAGGUGGCUUGAGAUUCGUCUUAAGUGUUUAUAGCCUCUUGCCUAUGCAGUCGGAGAGAUUGAGGUCUGCAGGCGUAGAUCCUUCGGGGCUAAAUGCAUUUGUGCUAAGUUAUAGCAUUUUAUAGACAACUUGUUGACUAUGAUUUGUCUUGUAGCUUACUCGCUUAUGUUAUUUUACCUACGCUUAGGAUGUUGACGCAUGAGAUAUACGC